UAAAAUAUUAUUUAGUAUAAUAAUUAUAUCAAUAAAAUAUUUAAUUAGUCGACCGGAAAAUGGAAUGUAUCAUAUCCAAGCUAUAAAUAAAGAAUGGUUCUAGUGGUUGAUGAUUCCAAAAAAACUCAUUGAAACAUCACACAUAUCAAUAUUUGAAAUUAAAAUGGCAAGGAAGAACAUGGUUGAUCUUUUGGUGUUUGUAAUGGUUUUGGCUUUGUUAAGGACGUCGAUAAAUGCAAGCCUAAUUGAUGGCUUCAUGUGCAUCAAAGUUAAAUUGUCCUUGUAUCCAUGUGUGACAUUUUUGGAGAGUUCUACCUCAACAAAACCACCCAUUAAUUGUUGUGAAGGAGCAAAUAGUUUAUUGCAAAUGGCUAGCACAACUAUAGUUAGGAGAAAUGUCUGCAAAUGUCUUAUAAGUACUUCAACAAAAUCGAAAGUUAACUCUACUAGAGCAAAAGAGCUUCCACAACUUUGCAGUAUCAAUAUUUCUUUUCCAUUAAAUUUUAAUGCUAGUUGCGACUCGAUUCCAUGAAGCUACAAAAGGGGAACAACGUGAAGGAAGUUUGAAGUACCGCAAAGAAGAGAUAGCAAUAAGGAAAUGAUAGAAAUUGUAAUAUUAAUUCAUUAAAGUUGAAUGUGUUUCCUGUAUUUUGCAAAUGAAAAAUAUAAUCAUAUGUCUUUUUUACUCAUUCUUAAUUAUAAUCGUACAUCUUUUUCAUUAAA
Molecule: long non-coding RNA, 723 nt
Organism: Cicer arietinum (chickpea)
Lineage: Eukaryota; Viridiplantae; Streptophyta; Magnoliopsida; Fabales; Fabaceae
Source: RefSeq, a predicted model, not a curated record